RNAcentral lists this transfer RNA (74 nucleotides) under Candidatus Bathyarchaeota archaeon. Its description in RNAcentral is "tRNA-Tyr". It matches the Rfam family "tRNA". Rfam says of the family: Transfer RNA (tRNA) molecules are approximately 80 nucleotides in length. Their secondary structure includes four short double-helical elements and three loops (D, anti-codon, and T loops). RNAcentral also lists the same sequence under 1 other name. Lineage: Archaea; Thermoproteati; Candidatus Bathyarchaeota. The record is from RNAcentral.
CCCCCGGUAGCUCAGCCUGGUAGAGCUUCCGGCUGUAGACCGGAGCGUCGGGUGUUCAAAUCACCCCCGGGGGA